This 1465-nucleotide ribosomal RNA is filed under the name Tolypothrix sp. Ru-0-3. RNAcentral's name for it is "bacterial SSU rRNA". It matches the Rfam family "Bacterial small subunit ribosomal RNA". The record is from RNAcentral. Lineage: Bacteria; Bacillati; Cyanobacteriota; Cyanophyceae; Nostocales; Tolypothrichaceae.
GGAUGAACGCUGGCGGUAUGCUUAACACAUGCAAGUCGAACGGAGUACUUAGGUACUUAGUGGCGGACGGGUGAGUAACGCGUGAGAAUCUGCCUUCAGGUUCGGGACAACCACUGGAAACGGUGGCUAAUACCGAAUGUGCAGAAAUGUGAAAUAUUUAUAGCCUGGAGAUGAGCUCGCGUCUGAUUAGCUAGUAGGUGUGGUAAGAGCGCACCUAGGCGACGAUCAGUAGCUGGUCUGAGAGGAUGAUCAGCCACACUGGGACUGAGACACGGCCCAGACUCCUACGGGAGGCAGCAGUGGGGAAUUUUCCGCAAUGGGCGAAAGCCUGACGGAGCAAUACCGCGUGAGGGAGGAAGGCUCUUGGGUUGUAAACCUCUUUUCUCAGGGAAGAAAAAAAUGACGGUACCUGAGGAAUAAGCAUCGGCUAACUCCGUGCCAGCAGCCGCGGUAAUACGGAGGAUGCAAGCGUUAUCCGGAAUGAUUGGGCGUAAAGCGUCCGCAGGUGGCUGUGUAAGUCUGCUGUUAAAUAGUGAGGCUCAACCUCAUAAAGGCAGUGGAAACUACACGGCUAGAGUGCGUUCGGGGCAGAGGGAAUUCCUGGUGUAGCGGUGAAAUGCGUAGAGAUCAGGAAGAACACCGGUGGCGAAAGCGCUCUGCUAGGCCGCAACUGACACUGAGGGACGAAAGCUAGGGGAGCGAAUGGGAUUAGAUACCCCAGUAGUCCUAGCCGUAAACGAUGGAUACUAGGCGUGGCUUGUAUCGACCCGAGCCGUGCCGUAGCUAACGCGUUAAGUAUCCCGCCUGGGGAGUACGCAGGCAACUGUGAAACUCAAAGGAAUUGACGGGGGCCCGCACAAGCGGUGGAGUAUGUGGUUUAAUUCGAUGCAACGCGAAGAACCUUACCAGGACUUGACAUGUCGCGAAUCCUUACGAAAGUAGGGAGUGCCUUCGGGAGCGCGAACACAGGUGGUGCAUGGCUGUCGUCAGCUCGUGUCGUGAGAUGUUGGGUUAAGUCCCGCAACGAGCGCAACCCUCGUUUUUAGUUGCCAUCAUUAAGUUGGGCACUCUAGAGAGACUGCCGGUGACAAACCGGAGGAAGGUGGGGAUGACGUCAAGUCAGCAUGCCCCUUACGUUCUGGGCUACACACGUACUACAAUGCUACGGACAAAGGGCAGCUACACAGCGAUGUGAUGCUAAUCUCAUAAACCGUAGCUCAGUUCAGAUCGCAGGCUGCAACUCGCCUGCGUGAAGGAGGAAUCGCUAGUAAUUGCAGGUCAGCAUACUGCAGUGAAUUCGUUCCCGGGCCUUGUACACACCGCCCGUCACACCAUGGAAGCUGGUAGUGCCCGAAGUCAUUACCCCAACCGCUUGCGGAGGGGGAUGCCUAAGGCAGGACUGGUGACUGGGGUGAAGUCGUAACAAGGUAGCCGUACCGGAAGGUGUGGCUGGAUCACCUCCUUU